AACGAACGCUGGCGGCAGGCUUAACACAUGCAAGUCGAGCGCCCCGCAAGGGGAGCGGCAGACGGGUGAGUAACGCGUGGGAACGUACCUUUUGGUUCGGAACAACUCCGGGAAACUGGAGCUAAUACCGGAUAAGCCCUAACGGGGAAAGAUUUAUCGCCGAAAGAUCGGCCCGCGUCUGAUUAGCUAGUUGGUGAGGUAACGGCUCACCAAGGCGACGAUCAGUAGCUGGUCUGAGAGGAUGAUCAGCCACACUGGGACUGAGACACGGCCCAGACUCCUACGGGAGGCAGGAGGGGGGGAUAUUUGACCAUGGGGGGCAGGCUGAUCCCGGCCUGCCGGGGGAGGGAUGGAGGCCUUAGGGUUGGAAAGCCUUUUUGUCCCGGAAGGAAAUGACUGUACCGGAAGAAUAAGCCCCGGCUAACUUCGUG
Molecule: ribosomal RNA, 431 nt
Filed under: uncultured bacterium
Lineage: Bacteria
Description: partial 16S ribosomal RNA
Rfam family: Bacterial small subunit ribosomal RNA
Source: RNAcentral